GAUGAACGCUGGCGGCGUGCUUAACACAUGCAAGUCGAACGAGAAGUGAAGACGGAAACCUUCGGGCGGAAGGCUUUAUUUCGAGUGGCGGACGGGUGAGUAACGCGUGGGCAACCUGCCUCAUACAGGGGGAUAACAGUUGGAAACGACUGUUAAUACCGCAUAAGACCACAGCACCGCAUGGUGCGGGGGUAAAAACUCCGGUGGUAUGAGAUGGACCCGCGUUCGAUUAGCCAGUUGGCGGGGUAACGGCCCACCAAAGCGACGAUCGAUAGCCGAUCUGAGAGGAUGACCGGCCUCAUUGGGACUGAGACACGGCCCAAACUCCUACGGGAGGCAGCAGUGGGGAAUAUUGCACAAUGGGGGAAACCCUGAUGCAGCGACGCCGCGUGAGUGAAGAAGUAUUUCGGUAUGUAAAGCUCUAUCAGCAGGGAAGAAAAUGACGGUACCUGAGUAAGAAGCCCCGGCUAACUACGUG
RNAcentral lists this ribosomal RNA (478 nucleotides) under uncultured bacterium. Its description in RNAcentral is "partial 16S ribosomal RNA". It matches the Rfam family "Bacterial small subunit ribosomal RNA", at positions 28 to 507 of the family's 1533-position model. The record is from RNAcentral.